AUCUUUGCCUUGGCAGAGGAGAUCCCAUGAUCACGAAAGUGGUUUACCCAAGUGAGGCCUGUCCCUUGCACUCCAGUCAGGCAGGCUGACCCUGCAAGUUUUAAUGGCAAAAUUUUGUGGAAAUAGUGGAUUGUAUUCAUACUUCCCCUCU
RNAcentral lists this small nuclear RNA (151 nucleotides) under Crocodylus porosus (Australian saltwater crocodile). Its description in RNAcentral is "U1 spliceosomal RNA (ENSCPRG00005010493.1)". It matches the Rfam family "U1 spliceosomal RNA". From Rfam's summary of the family: U1 is a small nuclear RNA (snRNA) component of the spliceosome (involved in pre-mRNA splicing). Its 5' end forms complementary base pairs with the 5' splice junction, thus defining the 5' donor site of an intron. There are significant differences in sequence and secondary structure between metazoan and yeast U1 snRNAs, the latter being much longer (568 nucleotides as compared to 164 nucleotides in human). Lineage: Eukaryota; Metazoa; Chordata; Crocodylia; Crocodylidae. The record is from RNAcentral.